UGGAAACUNUCCGACUUGAGUGCAGAAGGGGAGAGUGGAAUUCCAUGUGUAGCGGUGAAAUGCGUAGAUAUAUGGAGGAACACCAGUGGCGAAAGCGGCUCUCUGNUCUGUCACUGACGCAGAGGCUCGAAAGCGUGGGUAGCGAACAGGAUUAGAUACCCUGGUAGUCCACGCCGUAAACGAUGAGUGCUAGGUGUUAGGCCCUUUCCGGGGCUUAGUGCCGGAGCUAACGCAAUAAGCACUCCGCCUGGGGAGUACGACCGCAAGGUUGAAACUCAAAGGAAUUGACGGGGGCCCGCACAAGCGGUGGAGCAUGUGGUUUAAUUCGAAGCAACGCGAAGAACCUUACCAGGUCUUGACAUCCCGAUGCUAUUCUUAGAGAUAGGAAGUUACUUCGGUACAUCGGAGACAGGUGGUGCAUGGUUGUCGUCAGCUCGUGUCGUGAGAUGUUGGGUUAAGUCCCGCAACGAGCGCAACCCUUAUUGUUAGUUGCCAUCAUUAAGUUGGGCACUCUAGCGAGACUGCCGGUAAUAAACCGGAGGAAGGUGGGGAUGACGUCAAAUCAUCAUGCCCCUUAUGACCUGGGCUACACACGUGCUACAAUGGUCGGUACAAUGAGUUGCGAGCCGGUGACGGCAAGCUAAUCUCUGAAAGCCGAUCUCAGUUCGGAUUGGAGGCUGCAACUCGCCUCCAUGAAGUCGGAAUCGCUAGUAAUCGCGGAUCAGCACGCCGCGGUGAAUACGUUCCCGGGCCUUGUACACACCGCCCGUCACACCACGAGAGUUUGUAACACCCGAAGUCGGUGAGGUAACCUUUUAGGGGCCAGCCGC
RNAcentral lists this ribosomal RNA (830 nucleotides) under uncultured bacterium. RNAcentral describes it as "bacterial SSU rRNA". It matches the Rfam family "Bacterial small subunit ribosomal RNA", at positions 627 to 1456 of the family's 1533-position model. The record is from RNAcentral.